GAUGAACGCCGGCGGCGUGCUUAACACAUGCAAGUCGAACGGUGAAGGCGGAGCUUGCUCUGCUGGAUCAGUGGCGAACGGGUGAGUAACACGUGAGCAAUCUGCCCCUGACUCUGGGAUAAGCGCUGGAAACGGCGUCUAAUACUGGAUACGAGCUGCGAAGGCAUCUUCAGCAGCUGGAAAGAAUUUCGGUCAGGGAUGAGCUCGCGGCCUAUCAGCUUGUUGGUGAGGUAAUGGCUCACCAAGGCGUCGACGGGUAGCCGGCCUGAGAGGGUGACCGGCCACACUGGGACUGAGACACGGCCCAGACUCCUACGGGAGGCAGCAGUGGGGAAUAUUGCACAAUGGGCGAAAGCCUGAUGCAGCAACGCCGCGUGCGGGACGACGGCCUUCGGGUUGUAAACCUCUUUUAGCAGGGAAGAAGCGAAAGUGACGGUACCUGCAGAAAAAGCGCCGGCUAACUACGUG
RNAcentral lists this ribosomal RNA (468 nucleotides) under uncultured bacterium. RNAcentral's name for it is "partial 16S ribosomal RNA". It matches the Rfam family "Bacterial small subunit ribosomal RNA", at positions 28 to 507 of the family's 1533-position model. The record is from RNAcentral.